This 123-nucleotide ribosomal RNA is filed under the name Carlito syrichta (Philippine tarsier). The record is from RNAcentral. Lineage: Eukaryota; Metazoa; Chordata; Mammalia; Primates; Tarsiidae.
UUCUAGGGCCACGCCACUCUGAUCCUGCCGUAUCUCUUCUGAUCUAAGACACUUAGCAGGGACAGGCUGACCCGCUGAGUAAUUGGAUGGGAGGCCACUGGGGAAUGUCACGUGCUGUAGGCU